Molecule: ribosomal RNA, 471 nt
Filed under: uncultured bacterium
Lineage: Bacteria
Description: bacterial SSU rRNA
Rfam family: Bacterial small subunit ribosomal RNA
Source: RNAcentral
CCAGACUCCUACGGGAGGCAGCAGUGGGGAAUCUUCCGCAAUGGGCGCAAGCCUGACGGAGCAAUGCCGCGUGAACGAAGAAGGUCUUCGGAUUGUAAAGUUCUGUCCUUAUCGAAGAGAGGGUAUAGAGUGAAAAAUGAUAUACUAGGACGGUAGAUGAGGAGGAAGCCCCGGCUAACUACGUGCCAGCAGCCGCGGUAAUACGUAGGGGGCAAGCGUUAUCCGGAUUUACUGGGUGUAAAGGGAGCGUAGACGGCGAUGCAAGUCUGAAGUGAAAGGCGGGGGCCCAACCCCCGGACUGCUUUGGAAACUGUAUAGCUGGGGUGCAGGAGAGGUAAGUGGAAUUCCUAGUGUAGCGGUGAAAUGCGUAGAUAUUAGGAGGAACACCAGUGGCGAAGGCGGCUUACUGGACUGUAACUGACGUUGAGGCUCGAAAGCGUGGGGAGCAAACAGGAUUAGAUACCCGAGUAC